RNAcentral lists this ribosomal RNA (253 nucleotides) under uncultured bacterium. RNAcentral's name for it is "partial 16S ribosomal RNA". It matches the Rfam family "Bacterial small subunit ribosomal RNA", at positions 524 to 776 of the family's 1533-position model. The record is from RNAcentral.
UACGGAGGGUGCAAGCGUUAUCCGGAUUCACUGGGUUUAAAGGGUGCGUAGGCGGGCAGGUAAGUCCGUGGUGAAAUCUCUGAGCUUAACUCAGAAACUGCCAUGGAUACUAUUUGUCUUGAAUGUUGUGGAGGUAAGCGGAAUAUGUCAUGUAGCGGUGAAAUGCUUAGAUAUGACAUAGAACACCAAUUGCGAAGGCAGCUUACUACACAAAUAUUGACGCUGAGGCACGAAAGCGGGGGGAUCAAACAGG